Molecule: long non-coding RNA, 297 nt
Filed under: Elaeis guineensis (African oil palm)
Lineage: Eukaryota; Viridiplantae; Streptophyta; Magnoliopsida; Arecales; Arecaceae
Description: long non-coding RNA (EGUI_LNC056814)
Source: RNAcentral
CCUUGCCUCAUGCCACUCUAGAAAUUAUUGCCCGGACCACGCCAGGAAGACCAGCCACAAACCCGAUAACAUGCCACAUUAAUCCAUGUAUUUCAUGAAUCUCCGAUUACACGUGUCCAUCAUGCAUGUACUUCACGAUUUGUGCUGGUCUAUCAAAACGUGGUCCAGGCAUUAAUUUCUCUUUGCCACUCUCACGAUUUCGACCAAGUUCACCAAUACUUGAUCGAGGCUCUCCAUCGCGCAUCCAGGACUUUGAAAUGAAGCUUCAUGAGGAAGAAAGAGUGGCCAUGUAAAUCC